RNAcentral lists this transfer RNA (72 nucleotides) under Capra hircus (goat). It matches the Rfam family "tRNA". From Rfam's summary of the family: Transfer RNA (tRNA) molecules are approximately 80 nucleotides in length. The record is from Rfam by way of RNAcentral. Lineage: Eukaryota; Metazoa; Chordata; Mammalia; Artiodactyla; Bovidae. RNAcentral also lists the same sequence under 1 other name.
UCCGUAGUAGCUUAGAUGGUAAAGCAACUGCCUGCAAUGCAGGAGACCCAGGUUCAAUCCUUGGGUUGGGAG